UUAAGUUAUUAAGGGCUUACGGUGGAUGCCUAGGUGCCAGAAGGCGAUGAAGGACGUAGUGAGCUGCGAUAAGCCUCGGGGAGCCGCAAACAGGCUUAGAUCCGGGGAUUUCCGAAUGGGGCAACCCGCUGCGAGUAAUGUCGCAGUAUCCAUGCCUGAACACAUAGGGCAUGGAGGCGAUACUCAGGGAACUGAAACAUCUUAGUACCUGGAGGAAAAGAAAGCAACCGCGAUUCCCUAAGUAGUGGCGAGCGAACGGGGAACAGCCCAAACCGUAGAAAUGCUAAAGCCUACCGGCGUUGUUUCUACGGGGUAGCGGGGCGUCUUCUUAGGCGUGCGGUAGACCGCCUGGCGAGUUACAAAUUCUUUUGAUAGGCGAAGUCACCUGGAAAGGUGCACCAUAGAAAGUAAUAGUCUUGUAGCCGAAAUUAAAAGAACUCGCUGAAGACGUUUCCAAGUAGCACGGGGCACGAGGAAUCCCGUGUGAAUCAGGGAGGACCCCCUCCUAAGGCUAAAUACUAGCUGGCAACCGAUAGCGGAGCAGUACCGUGAGGGAAAGGUGAAAAGUACCCCGGAAGGGGAGUGAAAUAGUACCUGAAACCGUAAGCCUACAAGCAGUGGAAGCACUAUUUGCAGCGGCCUAGCUGCUGCAAAGUGUGACCGCGUACUUUUUGUAGAACGGGCCGGCGAGUUACGGUCGGUAGCGAGGUUAAGGGACAAAGUCCUGGAGCCGUAGCGAAAGCGAGUCUGAACAGGGCGUUUAGUUACUGGUCGUAGACCCGAAACCGGGUGAUCUACCCAUGGCCAGGGUGAAGCUUGGGUAAAACCGAGUGGAGGCCCGCACCCACCGAUGUUAAAAAAUCGGGGGAUGAGCUGUGGGUAGUGGUGAAAUGCUAAUCGAACCCGGAAAUAGCUGGUUCUCCCCGAAAUAGUUUUAGGGCUAGCCUCAAGAGAUGAGAAAUGGGGGUAGAGCACUGAUUGGGAUAGGGGCCCUACAAGGUUACCGAACUCAGUCAAACUCCGAAUACCAUUUCUUCUACCUUGGGAGUCAGACUAUGGGAGAUAAGUUUCAUAGUCGAGAGGGAAACAGCCCAGACCAUCGGCUAAGGUCCCCAAGUAUAGACUAAGUGGAAAAGGAUGUAGGAACGCUCAGACAGCCAGGAUGUUGGCUUAGAAGCAGCCACCAUUUAAAGAGUGCGUAAUAGCUCACUGGUCAAGUAUUCCUGCGCCGAAAAUUUAACGGGGCUCAAGUCUAUCACCGAAGCCAUGGCAUCCGAUGUUAGUCGGAUGGGUAGGGGAGCGUUCCGGCAGCGUAGAAGCUGUACCGUGAGGAGCAGUGGAGCUUCCGGAAGUGAGAAUGCCGGCAUGAGUAACGAUAAGGAAGGUGAGAAUCCUUCCCGCCGGAAGCCUAAGGUUUCCUGAGGAAGGCUCGUCCUCUCAGGGUAAGUCGGGGCCUAAGCCGAGGCCGAAAGGCGUAGGCGAUGGACAACUGGUGGAAAUUCCAGUACCACCUUCAGCCGCCACGAGCGAUGGGGUGACGCAGGAGGGUAGGCGCAGCGCACCGUUGGUAGUGUGCGUCUAAACGUUUAGGGAGUGGAGGUAGGCAAAUCCGCCUCCACGCUAAUCCUGAAGCGUGAUGGGGAGCGAAAUUUUAAGUAGCGAACUGGCUGAUCCCAUACUGCCUAGAAAAACCUCUAGCCAGGCUGCAAGGUGCCCGUACCGCAAACCGACACAGGUAGGCGAGGAGAGGAUCCUGAGGCGCUCGGGAGAACCCUCGUUAAGGAACUCGGCAAAAUAACCCCGUAACUUCGGGAGAAGGGGUGCCCCGUGUAGGGUGACUUUAUGGAGCCCGAGGGGGCCGCAGUGAACAGGCCCAAGCGACUGUUUAUCAAAAACACAGGUCUCUGCUAAGUCGUAAGACGAUGUAUAGGGGCUGACGCCUGCCCGGUGCUGGAAGGUUAAGGGGAAGGGUUAGCAAGGUUCUUCGGAAUCUUGCGAAGCUCUGAACUUAAGCCCCAGUAAACGGCGGCCGUAACUAUAACGGUCCUAAGGUAGCGAAAUUCCUUGUCGGGUAAGUUCCGACCCGCACGAAAGGCGUAACGACUUGGGCGCUGUCUCAACGAGGGACCC
Molecule: ribosomal RNA, 2130 nt
Filed under: Syntrophomonadaceae bacterium
Lineage: Bacteria; Bacillati; Bacillota; Clostridia; Eubacteriales; Syntrophomonadaceae
Description: bacterial LSU rRNA
Rfam family: Bacterial large subunit ribosomal RNA
Source: RNAcentral